This 162-nucleotide small RNA is filed under the name Gopherus agassizii (Agassiz's desert tortoise). RNAcentral's name for it is "TUC338 (ENSGAGG00000021447.1)". The record is from RNAcentral. Lineage: Eukaryota; Metazoa; Chordata; Testudines; Testudinidae.
UUGACAGCUUUGGAGACAGAAAUGCUCUGUUUAUCCACAGAAGGGAUACAGCUUGGGCAGCAGCAGUGCAAGCUUUCCCUACCUUGCUCCAUCCGUGUGCCUUUGCCAUCUCAAUGGAUGAGGGUAGUUCAGUGUCGAAUGCUGACUCGGUCAUUGGCUACU